RNAcentral lists this ribosomal RNA (440 nucleotides) under uncultured bacterium. RNAcentral's name for it is "partial 16S ribosomal RNA". It matches the Rfam family "Bacterial small subunit ribosomal RNA", at positions 338 to 795 of the family's 1533-position model. The record is from RNAcentral.
CCUACGGGUGGCAGCAGUAGGGAAUAUUGCACAAUGGGGGAAACCCUGAAGCAGCAACGCCGCGUGGAGGAUGAAGGUUUUCGGAUUGUAAACUCCUUUUAUUAGAGAAGAUAAUGACGGUAUCUAACGAAUAAGCACCGGCUAACUACGUGCCAGCAGCCGCGGUAAUACGGAGGGUGCGAGCGUUACGCGGAAUCACUGGGCGUAAAGAGCGCGUAGGCGGGAUGGCAAAUCAGAUGUGAAAUCCUAUGGCUUAACCAUAGCACUGCAUUUGAAACUGUUAUUCUAGAGUAUGGGAGAGGUAAGUGGAAUGCGUGGUGUAGGGGUAAAAUCCGUAGAGAUCAAGAGGAAUACUCAUUGCGAAGGCGACCUGCUAGAACAGAUCUGACGCUGAUGCGCGAAAGCGUGGGGAGCAAACAGGAUUAGAUACCCUAGUAGUC